CAUAGUCACGUGCGAAACCACAUGAUUACAGUCAAAAAAGCGGAAGCGCGCGAAUGAUUAGUUUAUUAAUUUUAAGGCGAAUUCAUUAUUAUUUAAACACGGAGCAUAUUUUUAUUCAGUUUGAUGUUUUCAGAUAACGUGGAGAUCUUCAACAGAUCACUGGAACUGUCCAUAGUCCCUGGCUGCUUCAAAUGCUCCACCAUCAUCCCUGGCCCAAAGAAACCCAAGAUAACAGGACAUAAUGACUGCAGACCCUUGCUGGAUCCACUGCUCUUCUCCCUCUACACUAGGGAUGCACUAUAAAUCACAUGUGAUUUUCAUGCACAUCUCGUCAGUAAAGCCGGUGUUGUUGAUUAGUAGUAAAUCUCCAUCAUGUGCUUUCAGAUGGAGCAGCAUUUACUACACAGAGCCGUAGUUCACUGACAAGCUAUACAAUAUCACAUUCAUAAUCGCAGACAAUUUGUCUGAACAUCAACAGAACCGGCUCUACUGAUGAGAUGCGCAUAACAAUCACAUGCGAGUUAUCGUGCUGCCCUACUCUACACCAAUGACUGCACCUCUACAGACCUGAGGUCUUCGGACUGUCGAGAGGAUUACUGGUGCUUCCCUACCCACCUUUCAAGAACGAUCUUCAACAGAUCACUGGAACUGUCCAUAGUCCCUGGCUGCUUCAAAUGCUCCACCAUCAUCCCUGGCCCAAAGAAACCCAAGAUAACAGGACAUAAUGACUGCAGACCCUUGCUGGAUCCACUGCUCUUCUCCCUCUACACUAGGGAUGCACUAUAAAUCACAUGUGAUUUUCAUGCACAUCUCGUCAGUAAAGCCGGUGUUGUUGAUUAGUAGUAAAUCUCCAUCAUGUGCUUUCAGAUGGAGCAGCAUUUACUACACAGAGCCGUAGUUCACUGACAAGCUAUACAAUAUCACAUUCAUAAUCGCAGACAAUUUGUCUGAACAUCAACAGAACCGGCUCUACUGAUGAGAUGCGCAUAACAAUCACAUGCGAGUUAUCGUGCUGCCCUACUCUACACCAAUGACUGCACCUCUACAGACCUGAGGUCUUCGGACUGUCGAGAGGAUUACUGGUGCUUCCCUACCCACCUUUCAAGAACGGUACAAAUCCAGAGUGAGGAAAAGUGCUUAGGAAAUCACUCUGGAUCCUUUUUGAACUUUUGACAUCCGGUCGGCGAUACAGUGCAUGGAAUACGAGAGAAACAAGAAGUUUCUUUUCCCAGAAAAUCUGCCUAAGAAAAUCUGCCUAAUGAACAGUUAAAAGUCCCCCCCCCCCCAUCGUGCAAUAAAAAUAUGUGCAAUAACCUUAUAUUUUAUUUGUUACCACCCCAUAUCCUAGUACAUCCCUACAUCUCAUUCUAUUCCAUUCCUAUUAUAUCU
Long non-coding RNA from Carassius gibelio (silver crucian carp), 1389 nucleotides. RefSeq lists it as uncharacterized. The record is from RefSeq and is a predicted model, not a curated record. The transcript has 3 exons. Lineage: Eukaryota; Metazoa; Chordata; Actinopteri; Cypriniformes; Cyprinidae.